AUACGUAGGGUGCGAGCGUUGUCCGGAAUUACUGGGCGUAAAGAGCUCGUAGGUGGUUUGUCGCGUCGUCUGUGAAAUUCCGGGGCUUAACUCCGGGCGUGCAGGCGAUACGGGCACAACUUGAGUACUGUAGGGGAGACUGGAAUUCCUGGUGUAGCGGUGAAAUGCGCAGAUAUCAGGAGGAACACCGGUGGCGAAGGGGGGUCUCUGGGCAGUAACUGACGCUGAGGAGCGAAAGCAUGGGUAGCGAACAGGAUUAGAUACCCCGGUAGUCCAUGCCGUAAACGGUGGGCGCUAGGUGUAGGGGUCUUCCACGACUUCUGUGCCGUAGCUAACGCAUUAAGCGCCCCGCCUGGGGAGUACGGCCGCAAGGCUAAAACUCAAAUGAAUUGACGGGG
RNAcentral lists this ribosomal RNA (398 nucleotides) under uncultured bacterium. RNAcentral describes it as "partial 16S ribosomal RNA". It matches the Rfam family "Bacterial small subunit ribosomal RNA", at positions 523 to 918 of the family's 1533-position model. The record is from RNAcentral.